GCUAAGCACAGAAUUGAGCUAUUUAGCCAUUAGGGUUCAUUUCUAACUUAGUUAAGGCUCUGAUGAGACCCUCACACUGAGUAGAAAAGCCUUGGUUAUAAUGAUAUAGGUAGAGUUUAUUUGUGCCUUGGAAUAGUUCAGUGUUGGGCUGUGUAUUACUAGGAGAUAGAACCAGCUAGAUCAUUGUAACUGCACAUUCACAAACACUAACUUUGCACAUUCCUCUAGAAUGUGCAUGUCAGAAUCGUGAGGAUUUGUCUCUCCAUUAGCAUCUUCCUUCCAUAUAGCUCCCAAGAGGUCCUUCCUAGGUAUUUUGCAAACACCAUCAUCAACUCAAGGAAAAUACCAUCAAGUUACUGAGGAUGUAGUGAGCAGUACAUAACAACAUAGACCCUUGGUACAGCCUGUGACCCAUUACUUCUGAACAGGGACUACAAGAAGAAGGAAGGCACUGGUGCCCACCUAUGUGACAAAUACCAUCACUCCCCUGACUCCUUCUGACUACCGGUUAAGAUAAAAGCUAUGGACACCAGCAUACUCUCUGAGUACCAUCACUGAUAUGAAAAGAUGUUUGAACAUUUUAAACAAAUUUGAAAGGUAGCAGUUUCAUCAUUUUUAGUGUAACACACUGGUGGACAAGAUACUUUCACAUUGACAGCUCUGUUCAUCUGCCCACCAUAUAACAAAAAUAAUGAGUUCAUCAAAAUCAUUUCAUCAUCUUUAUCAAAGAAGAUCACAAUAUUUAAAAACAUACAAAAAUAAAAAAAGUGC
Long non-coding RNA from Mastomys coucha (southern multimammate mouse), 771 nucleotides. RefSeq lists it as uncharacterized. The record is from RefSeq and is a predicted model, not a curated record. Lineage: Eukaryota; Metazoa; Chordata; Mammalia; Rodentia; Muridae. The transcript has 2 exons.